AGCAUGAGCAUAUUUUCCUGCCAAUAUUCAGUUAAUUCUGCAGCAGCAGACACCAGCUGGGUAUCUAGUCAGAAUCAGUUCUGACACUGUCUACCUGGAGAUAGCAUUAUAUCCUUCAGGUUGAGGGUUCAGCCCCCAAAACUGGACCUGGAUCUGGCUCAUACACGCACCACCUCCAUUUUAGAUGCCAGUCACAAGCUUCAGGUUGUUCUACCUGUGCUUCUGACUGACUGACUAUAAACCCAAGUUCCCCCAACCUUCUCUUAGGUUCACUCAGUUUGCUAGAGUGGUUUACAGAUUGCAGAACUCAGAGGAACACUUUAUAAAGAACAGAGAUAAAGAGAUGCAUAGAGUGAGGUAUGGAAGAAGGGACAAGGUGUUACCUGCUACUCUCCAGGAACCUCCCCUGUGCACUGUUUAGGUAUCUAGAAACUCUCCAUCUGGUUCUUUGGGGGUUUUGUGGAGACUUCAUUGCAUACUUCAUGCUAAUAUACU
RNAcentral lists this long non-coding RNA (495 nucleotides) under Marmota monax (woodchuck). The record is from RNAcentral. Lineage: Eukaryota; Metazoa; Chordata; Mammalia; Rodentia; Sciuridae.